Molecule: ribosomal RNA, 460 nt
Filed under: uncultured bacterium
Lineage: Bacteria
Description: partial 16S ribosomal RNA
Rfam family: Bacterial small subunit ribosomal RNA
Source: RNAcentral
CCUACGGGAGGCAGCAGUGAGGAAUAUUGGUCAAUGGGCGCAAGCCUGAACCAGCCAAGUCGCGUGAGGGAAGACGGCCCUACGGGUUGUAAACCUCUUUUGCCGGGGAGCAAGCCUGAGCACGUGUGCCCAGGCGGAGAGUACCCGGAGAAAAAGCAUCGGCUAAAUCCGUGCCAGCAGGCGCGGUAAUACGGAGGAUGCGAGCGUUAUCCGGCUUUAAUGGGUUUAACGGGUGCGUAGGCGUCGAGUUAAGGCAGCGGUAAAAUUUCGGGGCUCAACCCCGCCAAGCCGGUGAAACUGGCUUGCUAGAGUGGGCGAGAAGUAUGCGGAAUGCGUGGUGUAGCGGUGAAAUGCAUAGAGAUCACGCAGAACUCCGAUUGCGAAGGCAGCAUACCGGCGCCCAACUGACGCUCAGGCACGAAAGCGUGGGUAUCGAACAGGAUUAGAUACCCUUGUAGUC